UACGUAGGGUGCAAGCGUUAAUCGGAAUUACUGGGCGUAAAGCGUGCGCAGGCGGUUGUGCAAGACAGAUGUGAAAUCCCCGGGCUUAACCUGGGAACUGCAUUUGUGACUGCACAGCUGGAGUGCGGCAGAGGGGGAUGGAAUUCCGCGUGUAGCAGUGAAAUGCGUAGAGAUAUGGAGGAACACCGAUGGCGAAGGCAGCCUCCUGGACCAAUAUUGACGCUCAGGCACGAAAGCGUGGGGAGCAAACAGG
RNAcentral lists this ribosomal RNA (253 nucleotides) under uncultured bacterium. RNAcentral's name for it is "partial 16S ribosomal RNA". It matches the Rfam family "Bacterial small subunit ribosomal RNA", at positions 524 to 776 of the family's 1533-position model. The record is from RNAcentral.